Molecule: long non-coding RNA, 1016 nt
Filed under: Lynx pardinus (Iberian lynx)
Lineage: Eukaryota; Metazoa; Chordata; Mammalia; Carnivora; Felidae
Source: RNAcentral
AAAUGUUACCGCCUCUAUGUCAGUUACACAACCGGAAGCAGAUAGUGCCACUCUUCCCAAAGACUAUUCUUAGCUGACAAAUGUGGUUGGAGGUACUCAACCGAGAUACAAUCCUUCAACAGGCCCCUGUCCCAAAGAUUUCCUGAGAUGUUGCCAGGAGCCCAUAGUGGCCUAAAAAACGGAGAACUUGAAAUCAGAGUCUGUGUGUGUUGGGUUGAACGCCAGGCCCGCGUCCCGAAAGGUAGGCCUCUCCUCCUCCCCAGACCAGACCUGGCAAGGACUUCCCUCACACUUUGUUCUGCCCGAGGGUGCUGGGCUUCGAGGUGUGGGAAGAGUGGGUGGGGGAAUUCUAGUUCCAGUGAAGCAGUUGAAAGAAAGUCAUUUCCACAAAAUCUAGCUCAAAAUAGAGGAAGCUGUUCUAUACUUACCCAAACUUUGUCCCCUGCAAGCUCACCUCCCCACCCCACACGCAGGGGAGUGGGGCAGUGGCUCCCCGGAUUUUCCUUGAGAUCUGGUGCUGUGUGCUGCCCCAUGGGCUUACAUUGUCACAAAUCCUCCCACUCUGAGCAAGCACGCCCACCACCUCAUUGUGGAUCUUCUUCCCCGUAGGCAGUUUCCAGAGUUUUUCAGGAAUCGGGCUACAGUUUGGAAGUUUAUUUACCAGUGAAGUGAAUUUCUCUCUGCUCUCCUUCCUCUCCUCCCAGAACCCAUCUGAGAAAGUUACAGAAGGCAUCUCCGAUUCACAACACGCCCCCCGCCAACCCCCCACUGAAUAACACGUCGUCUGGCAACAGGAGGCGUUUGAUUACAUUUGGAUGGAACGCCUGCAUCAACUCCAGUUGUCCCCGAAUUGGAACUGCUGGGCCUCACGUGCUGCAGCCAACAGUUUGCCUUCACCCACUCCCCUCUCCGAAAUGAACCUUUCUCUGGGAAAACAAGAAACCUACGUGCCAUCCUGGGUGAGAGACGAACAAUGGCUGCGUCCCAGCAUCGCAUCCCAAGCGUGACAGGCAAGA